Molecule: ribosomal RNA, 460 nt
Filed under: uncultured bacterium
Lineage: Bacteria
Description: partial 16S ribosomal RNA
Rfam family: Bacterial small subunit ribosomal RNA
Source: RNAcentral
CCUACGGGGUGCAGCAGUGAGGAAUAUUGGUCAAUGGACGAGAGUCUGAACCAACCAAGUAGCGUGAAGGAUGACUGCCCUAUGGGUUGUAAACUUCUUUUAUAUGGGAAUAAAAUGUUCCACGUGUGGGAUUUUGUAUGUACCAUAUGAAUAAGGAUCGGCUAACUCCGUGCCAGCAGCCGCGGUAAUACGGAGGAUCCGAGCGUUAUCCGGAUUUAUUGGGUUUAAAGGGAGCGUAGGUGGAUUGUUAAGUCAGUUGUGAAAGUUUGCGGCUCAACCGUAAAAUUGCAGUUGAAACUGGCAGUCUUGAGUACAGUAGAGGUGGGCGGAAUUCGUGGUGUAGCGGUGAAAUGCUGAGAUAUCACGAAGAACUCCGAUUGCGAAGGCAGUUCACUGGACUGCAACUGACACUGAGGCUCGAAAGUGUGGGUAUCAAACAGGAUUAGAUACCCGGGUAGUC